Molecule: ribosomal RNA, 355 nt
Filed under: uncultured bacterium
Lineage: Bacteria
Description: bacterial SSU rRNA
Rfam family: Bacterial small subunit ribosomal RNA
Source: RNAcentral
CGGACGCUAAUACCGCAUACGUCCUACGGGNGAAAGCGGGGGAUCUUCGGACCUCGCGCCAUUAGAUGAGCCUAGGUCGGAUUAGCUAGUUGGUGAGGUAAUGGCUCACCAAGGCGACGAUCCGUAACUGGUCUGAGAGGAUGAUCAGUCACACUGGAACUGAGACACGGUCCAGACUCCUACGGGAGGCAGCAGUGGGGAAUAUUGGACAAUGGGCGAAAGCCUGAUCCAGCCAUGCCGCGUGUGUGAAGAAGGUCUUCGGAUUGUAAAGCACUUUAAGUCGGGAGGAAGGGUAGUAACCUAAUACGUUGCUACUUUGACGUUACCGACAGAAUAAGCACCGGCUAACUUCGUG